GUGAUUUCCAAGGCGAAGCCUGAGGACAAUACCGCGUGUGGGAUGAAGGCCCUUGGGUUGUAAACCUCUUUUCUCAGGGAAGAAUAAUGACGGUACUUGAUGAAUAAGCAUCGGCUAACUCCGUGCCAGCAGCCGCGGUAAUACGGAGGAUGCAAGCGUUAUCCGGAAUGUAUUGGGCGUAAAGGGUCCGUAGGUGGGUUUGCAAGUCUGCUGUCAAAGCGAUCUGGCUUAACCCUAUAAAGGCGGUGGAAACUACAAGACUAUAGUGCGGUAGGGGCAGAGGGAAUUCCCAGUGUAGCGGUGAAAUGCGUAUAUAUUGGGAAGAACACCCGUGGCGAAAGCGCUCUGCUGGACCGCAACUGACACUGAUGGACGAAAGCUAGGGGAGCGAAUGGGAUUAGAUACCCCAGUAGUCCUAGCCGUAAACGAUGGAUACUAGAUGUUUGUCCGUAUCGACCCCCACAGGUGUCGUAACUAACGCGUUUAGUAUCCCCGCCUGGGGAGUACGCGCGCCACCUUGAAACUCAAAAGAUUGACGGGGGUCGGCAUCUUUCUUC
This 557-nucleotide ribosomal RNA is filed under the name uncultured cyanobacterium. RNAcentral describes it as "bacterial SSU rRNA". It matches the Rfam family "Bacterial small subunit ribosomal RNA", at positions 357 to 934 of the family's 1533-position model. The record is from RNAcentral. Lineage: Bacteria; Bacillati; Cyanobacteriota.